UACGGGGGGAGCAAGCGUUGUUCGGAUUUACUGGGCGUAAAGGGCGAGUAGGCGGCCACCGCAAGUCGACUGUGAAAUCUCCGGGCUUAACCCGGAAAGGUCAGCCGAUACUGCGGGGCUAGAGUGCAGAAGGGGCAACUGGAAUUCUCGGUGUAGCGGUGAAAUGCGUAGAUAUCGAGAGGAACACCUGCGGCGAAGGCGGGUUGCUGGGCUGACACUGACGCUGAGGCGCGAAAGCUAGGGGAGCGAACGGG
RNAcentral lists this ribosomal RNA (254 nucleotides) under uncultured bacterium. Its description in RNAcentral is "partial 16S ribosomal RNA". It matches the Rfam family "Bacterial small subunit ribosomal RNA", at positions 524 to 776 of the family's 1533-position model. The record is from RNAcentral.